ACUGGUACUGAGACACGGACCAGACUCCUACGGGAGGCAGCAGUGAGGAUAUUGACAAUGGCGCAGCCUAUCCAGCCAUGCCGCGUGCAGGAUGACGGUCCUAUGGAUUGUAAACUGCUUUUAUACGAGAAGAAACACUGCUUCGUGAAGCAGCUUGACGGUAUCAGUAAGAAUAAGGAUCGGCUAACUCCGUGCCAGCAGCCGCGGUAAUACGGAGGAUCCAAGCGUUAUCCGGAAUCAUUGGGUUUAAAGGGUCCGUAGGCGGUUUAAUAAGUCAGUGGUGAAAGCCCAUCGCUCAACGGUGGAACGGCCAUUGAUACUGUUAAACUUGAAUUAUUAGGAAGUAACUAGAAUAUGUAGUGUAGCGGUGAAAUGCUUAGAGAUUACAUGGAAUACCAAUUGCGAAGGCAGGUUACUACUAAUGGAUUGACGCUGAUGGACGAAAGCGUGGGUAGCGAACAGGAUUAGAUACCCUGGUAGUCCACGCCGUAAACGAUGGAUACUAGCUGUUGGAAGCAAUUUCAGUGGCUAAGCGAAAGUGAUAAGUAUCCCACCUGGGGAGUACGUUCGCAAGAAUGAAACUCAAAGGAAUUGACGGGGGCCCGCACAAGCGGUGGAGCAUGUGGUUUAAUUCGAUGAUACGCGAGGAACCUUACCAAGGCUUAAAUGUAGUUUGACCGAUUUGGAAACAGAUCUUUCGCAAGACAAAUUACAAGGUGCUGCAUGGUUGUCGUCAGCUCGUGCCGUGAGGUGUCAGGUUAAGUCCUAUAACGAGCGCAACCCCUGUUGUUAGUUGCCAGCGAGUCAUGUCGGGAACUCUAACAAGACUGCCAGUGCAAA
Molecule: ribosomal RNA, 840 nt
Filed under: Flavobacterium sp. 4cultural_118
Lineage: Bacteria; Pseudomonadati; Bacteroidota; Flavobacteriia; Flavobacteriales; Flavobacteriaceae
Description: bacterial SSU rRNA
Rfam family: Bacterial small subunit ribosomal RNA
Source: RNAcentral